CUUGAAAGCAAGUCAAUGCAAUCAUGUAGAAUGUUCCCAGAAUGCUCACUGGACAGUAUGUCAGAGGACUGCAUAAAAAGUGGGAAGAUGCUAAUGAAUAGUGAAAAUUGUUUACAUAUCAGGGAAACUUCCAAUGAAAUACCUGACAAAUCUUCAGGAGAAAUGGAAGAGGAGCACUACUAUAGAAAGCAUCGUUCUAUCACUCUUGGGUCAUUAAAAGAAUUCAACUUUGAUAAUUUGAAAGAAGUGCCUGAUAAACCCACAAUGAGCUCUGAGUGGUGGGCUAAUGAAACAAUUGCUGGGAAGGAAGCUAGGCCUGCCAACAACUGGACUUUCUUCCCAUUGUUACAGUCAGAAGUCAGCUGACAUUGAAACUUUGCAUAAUGGCUUCCCCUCUAUACUUGUAUGAUCAACAGGUUUGCUUUACUGAAUGCCUAACUUGUCAGAUGUAAGUCUGAAGCGCAACGGUGUUUUGGAUACAGUUCACCAGCCCUGGGGUCACAUGAGGAUAUAAAAAGGAAUUAAGCCAUGGUGAUCCAAACAACAAGUGCUCAGAAAAUAGUUUGUAGGGAUCAUUAGUGUGAGAACUAAUAGAGCAUUCUUUUUAAUUAUUUUGUUUCUAGUUUGAUGUUAUACAAAAAUAGCAUUUGCAUAUAGUUUUUUUCCAUUAUUACACAAGAAAAGGAAAAACAAUCCAGAACACAUCACUAUAUGCAAAUGCUAUUUUUGUAUAACAUCAAACUAGAAACAAAAUAAUUAAAAAGAAUGCUCUAUUAGUUCUCA
Molecule: unclassified non-coding RNA, 783 nt
Filed under: Hevea brasiliensis (rubber tree)
Lineage: Eukaryota; Viridiplantae; Streptophyta; Magnoliopsida; Malpighiales; Euphorbiaceae
Source: RNAcentral